UUACCUAUGGGGGGCAGCAGUGAGGAAUAUUGGUCAAUGGGCUUACGCCUGAACCAGCCAAGUCGCGUGAGGGAAGACUGCCCUAUGGGUUGUAAACCUCUUUUGUCAGGGAGCAACGCCGGCUACGUGUAGCCGGACUGAGAGUACCUGAAGAAAAAGCAUCGGCUAACUCCGUGCCAGCAGCCGCGGUAAUACGUAGGGUGCAAGCGUUAUCCGGAUUUAUUGGGCGUAAAGGGCUCGUAGGCGGUUCGUCGCGUCCGGUGUGAAAGUCCAUCGCUUAACGGUGGAUCCGCGCCGGGUACGGG
Molecule: ribosomal RNA, 305 nt
Filed under: uncultured bacterium
Lineage: Bacteria
Description: bacterial SSU rRNA
Rfam family: Bacterial small subunit ribosomal RNA
Source: RNAcentral